GUCAACGCGUCCGCCAUGUUUUGCGGGAAAGAAUGCCUUAAAAACAAACGGAGCCUCUCAUGUUUGCCACUGAGGAAUCCAGGGUGGCCCUGGUGCUCACACUACUGACUGGCAGAGCAGCGCUAUGGGGAACGGUGGUGGGGAAGAAUCGACAUUCCUGCUGUGCUGGAGUUUAACAAAUACUUCUCUAUGGACUCCUCGGGUGCAAUCAGUCAUUUGCCAGAGGGCGAACCCAUGCAGGUGGGGAGAACUCGGCUUUCCCGGGAGGAGAGAGAACGGCGAAGAAGAAGAGGACUGUGCAUUUACUGCGGAGUUGCAGGACAUUUCCUGGUCAAAUUUCCUGUAAAAGGGGAAGCCCGACAACAGAUCUGAGACUGUUGUCGGGUGGAGUCUCGCUUAGCAAAGCCUUGUCUAAUACUCUCCUCCCGGUAAGACUGAAAUGGGCGGCCAGAGUCUACGAAUGUAAGGCGUUAGUGGACUCAGGAGCUGAAGGAUGAGGUGGUGAACCUGUCAAACGUGCCUGCAGAGUACCGUGACCUGAAGGAAGUGUUCAUUAAGUCCAGAGCUGCUUCUCUCCCUCCACACCGUCCAUAUGACUGUGCUAUAGAUCUAGUUCCAGGAACAUGUUUAGCACGUCAGACGAGUGCUCCAGAGGCUGUUAGAGAAUGGGCUUUUUGUCAAGGUCACCGUAGCCACCAGAUCCAGUCUGUAUCCAAGUCAGAGGGUCACUGCAGUCACCCGGAUCCAGUAUGUAUCCAGCCCAGAUGGUGGAUUAGCACCUAGAAAGGACCUCUACAGCCCUGAAAGACAGCGGAGACCAGGACUAGAGCCCCAGAGACAGAUCCCCUGUAAAGACCUUGUUUCAGACGACCACCGGGACAAGACCACAGGAAACAGAUGAUUCUUCUGCACAAUCUGACUUUGCUGCAGCCUGGAAUUGAACUGCUGGUUUCGUCUGGUCAGAGGAGAACUGGCCCCCCGACUGAGCCUGGUUUCUCCCAAGGUUUUUUUUCUCCAUUCUCUCACUGAUGGAGUUUUGGUUCCUUGCCGCUGUCGCCUCUGGCUUGCUUAGUUGGGGACACUUCAUUUACAGCGAUAUCGUUGACUUGAUUGCAAAUUAUUGCACAGAUACUAUUUAAACUGAACUGAGCUGCAUGAUGACAUCACUGAAUUCAAUGAUGAACUGCCUUUAACUGUCAUUUUGCAUUAUUGACACUGUUUUCCUAAUUAAUGUUGUUCAGUUGCUUUGACGCAAUCUUUUUUGUUUAAAGCGCUAUAUAAAUAAAGAUGACUUGACUUGACGUGGGUUGAGUACACACAUAACUCAUUACCAGUGUCGUCCAUGGGCCUUUCGCCUUUCGAGUGUAGCUUAGGUUACCAGCCACCUAUUUUUCCCAGUCUGGAAUCCGAAGUUGCAGUCCCCUCUGCUCACGCCUUCAUCCAGGGGUGUUGUCGCACCUGGAGAAAGGCCUGAGAGACUCUUCUCCGGGUGGGACAACGUCGUCGUCGUUUUGACCUCCCGUCUAC
This is a long non-coding RNA of Cyprinus carpio carpio, 1527 nucleotides long. The record is from Ensembl. Lineage: Eukaryota; Metazoa; Chordata; Actinopteri; Cypriniformes; Cyprinidae.